GGGGUGCUCGAGUGGCGAACGGGUGAGUAACACGUGAGUAACCUGCCCUUGACUUUGGGAUAACUUCAGGAAACUGGGGCUAAUACCGGAUAGGAGCUCCUGCUGCAUGGUGGGGGUUGGAAAGUUUCGGCGGUUGGGGAUGGACUCGCGGCUUAUCAGCUUGUUGGUGGGGUAGUGGCUUACCAAGGCUUUGACGGGUAGCCGGCCUGAGAGGGUGACCGGCCACAUUGGGACUGAGACACGGUCCAG
Molecule: ribosomal RNA, 249 nt
Filed under: uncultured Actinomycetales bacterium
Lineage: Bacteria; Bacillati; Actinomycetota; Actinomycetes; Actinomycetales
Description: partial 16S ribosomal RNA
Rfam family: Bacterial small subunit ribosomal RNA
Source: RNAcentral